Molecule: ribosomal RNA, 485 nt
Filed under: uncultured bacterium
Lineage: Bacteria
Description: partial 16S ribosomal RNA
Rfam family: Bacterial small subunit ribosomal RNA
Source: RNAcentral
AGUGAACGCUGGCGGCGUGCUUAACACAUGCAAGUCGAACGAGAACGGAAUAUAGCUUGCUAUAUUUGUCAGCUAAGUGGCGCACGGGUGAGUAAUGUAUAGAUAACCUGCCCUUAAGAAAGGAAUAACAGUUGGAAACGACUGCUAAUGCCCUAUAUGCCUUUAAUACAUAAGUAUGCAAGGGAAACGCUUUAGUGCUUAAGGAUGGGUCUGUAUGGUAUCAGCUUGUUGGUGAGGUAAUGGCUCACCAAGGCUAUGACGCCUAACUGGUUUGAGAGGAUGAUCAGUCACGCUGGAACUGAGACACGGUCCAGACUACUACGGGAGGCAGCAGUGGGGAAUAUUGCACAAUGGACGAAAGUCUGAUGCAGCAACGCCGCGUGGAGGAUGACACAUUUCGGUGCGUAAACUCCUUUUAUAUAGGAAGAUAAUGACGGUACUAUAUGAAUAAGCACCGGCUAACUCCGUGCCAGCCGCCGCAGUAA